GCCCCCGUAGCUCAGUGGCUAGAGCGUCUGCCUUCUAAGCAGCUGGUCGAAGGUUCGAAUCCUUUCGGGGGCG
RNAcentral lists this transfer RNA (73 nucleotides) under Bifidobacteriaceae bacterium. RNAcentral describes it as "tRNA-Arg". It matches the Rfam family "tRNA". Rfam says of the family: Transfer RNA (tRNA) molecules are approximately 80 nucleotides in length. Their secondary structure includes four short double-helical elements and three loops (D, anti-codon, and T loops). The record is from RNAcentral. Lineage: Bacteria; Bacillati; Actinomycetota; Actinomycetes; Bifidobacteriales; Bifidobacteriaceae.